RNAcentral lists this ribosomal RNA (468 nucleotides) under uncultured bacterium. RNAcentral describes it as "partial 16S ribosomal RNA". It matches the Rfam family "Bacterial small subunit ribosomal RNA", at positions 28 to 507 of the family's 1533-position model. The record is from RNAcentral.
GACGAACGCUGGCGGCGUGCUUAACACAUGCAAGUCGAACGGAAAGGCCCUGCUUUUGUGGGGUGCUCGAGUGGCGAACGGGUGAGUAACACGUGAGUAACCUGCCCUUGGCUUUGGGAUAACUUCAGGAAACUGGGGCUAAUACCGGAUAGGAGCUCCUGCUGCAUGGUGGGGGUUGGAAAGUUUCGGCGGUUGGGGAUGGACUCGCGGCUUAUCAGCUUGUUGGUGGGGUAGUGGCUUACCAAGGCUUUGACGGGUAGCCGGCCUGAGAGGGUGACCGGCCACAUUGGGACUGAGAUGCGGCCCAGACUCCUACGGGAGGCAGCAGUGGGGAAUAUUGCACAAUGGGCGGAAGCCUGAUGCAGCAACGCCGCGUGCGGGAUGACGGCCUUCGGGUUGUAAACCGCUUUCGCCUGUGACGAAGCGUGAGUGACGGUAAUGGGUAAAGAAGCACCGGCUAACUACGUG